GGGCUUGGAUCCGCCCCAUAUAUCCUUUACGCUGCGUGGCCACGCCCACCGAUCGUUCUAAUAAGUCACCUUCAAAGUAGGAGGCCCGAAACUGGCCAAUCACAGGCUGGCUUGUGUUUGCGUAACAAAAUCGUGUACGAGGGUCGAACUCAAGCUGGUCGUACGGGCGCGUGGAGUCGCCGCGCGCGCGUAUAGCUUCAGUAGCGUCGGCUAAACAUUACAGGGAUAUAAAGUUAUAUGUAUGUGGGUCAUACGUGUAGAAACGUUACACUCACGUUUAAUAGAGAGUUGUUUUCUCUCCUUCCAUUAUAAAUGACAUGUGUCGUGUGUAGAUUUAUUACAGCAGAGCGCUAACAGGGCUUAUGUUUCUUUCACACUGACCAGUAUUGGAUGAAUGGGUUCCAGUGAGCAAGGCACUGUUCCUGUGGUUGCUAACAUUUCACUACUGAAUGUAUUUAUUAUUAAGGACUGGGUUUUACUUGCCCAGAUGGCGCUGUGAUGCAAAAUGACAAUUCAAGGCAUUUCCAGCAAUCAUCCCAUGUCUUCCCAUAUAGUUUUAAUUUUUUAAAAUAGUGUAUAUACUGUUGCCAUGUAAUGUGUGUUCAGGGUAUGUGGUGCUCUUGAUCUACUCCUGCUACUGAGUCUGUUCCAGUGAUCUCUGCUCCACUCAAGGGCACGUGGGUUCACUAUAUGGUCUGAUGAGGAUGAAAAUGAUGUAAAUCAUACGCUAUGGCCUUCACUCAUUGGAUCUUAACCCAGUUGAACACCUGUGGGAGAUUUUGGAGCGAUGUUAGACAGCUAACCACCAUCAUCAACACACCAAUUAAGAGGAUAUCUUUUGGAAAAAUUGUGUUCAACCCUCCAGUACUCUGAAACUGUUCUAAAACUACCAAAGCUUACUGAAGCUGUUCUGAUGACUCAUGGUGAUCUAUCACCUUACAAAGACUUUAUGUUGUUUUUCCAUUUAAUUUCUAUAUUAAAUAUGCAUAUUUAUCCAUAUAUGUACAUAUAAGUGCAUGUGUUUUAGGAAGUAUUGUUUUAAUACCUAGAGAUUCUGCAUUUAAUGAGUCAAAAUAAAUUUCUGUGGAAGAUCAUAAUAAACAGUGAUAUUAAAUCA
Pangasianodon hypophthalmus (striped catfish) is the source of this 1117-nucleotide long non-coding RNA. RefSeq lists it as uncharacterized. The transcript has 2 exons. The record is from RefSeq and is a predicted model, not a curated record. Lineage: Eukaryota; Metazoa; Chordata; Actinopteri; Siluriformes; Pangasiidae.